GACGAACGCUGGCGGCGUGCUUAACACAUGCAAGUCGAACGGUGAAGGGACUGGUUUUGCUGGUCCUGGAUGAGUGGCGAACGGGUGAGUAACACGUGAGUAACCUGCCCCCUUCUUCUGGAUAACCGCAUGAAAGUGUGGCUAAUACGGGAUAUUCUGGGUCUGUCGCAUGGUGGGCCUGGGAAAGAUUGCGCCUUUUUUGGUGUGUUUGGUGGGGGAUGGGCUCGCGGCCUAUCAGCUUGUUGGUGGGGUGAUGGCCUACCAAGGCGGUGACGGGUAGCCGGCCUGAGAGGGUGGACGGUCACACUGGGACUGAGACACGGCCCAGACUCCUACGGGAGGCAGCAGUGGGGAAUAUUGCACAAUGGGCGCAAGCCUGAUGCAGCGACGCCGCGUGAGGGAUGGAGGCCUUCGGGUUGUGAACCUCUUUCGCCAGUGAAGCAGGCCUGCCUCUUUUUGUGGGUGGGUUGACGGUAGCUGGAUAAGAAGCGCCGGCUAACUACGUG
This 506-nucleotide ribosomal RNA is filed under the name uncultured bacterium. RNAcentral's name for it is "partial 16S ribosomal RNA". It matches the Rfam family "Bacterial small subunit ribosomal RNA", at positions 28 to 507 of the family's 1533-position model. The record is from RNAcentral.